Molecule: ribosomal RNA, 375 nt
Filed under: uncultured bacterium
Lineage: Bacteria
Description: bacterial SSU rRNA
Rfam family: Bacterial small subunit ribosomal RNA
Source: RNAcentral
AUACGUAGGGAGCGAGUGUUGUCCGGAAUUACUAGGCGUAAAGGGUGCGUAGGCGGCAAUGCAAGUCAGAUGUGAAAUCCCCGGGCUUAACUCGGGGGGUGCAUUUGAAACUGCAUUGCUUGAGUGCAGGAGAGGAAAGCGGAAUUCCUAGUGUAGCGGUGAAAUGCGUAGAUAUUAGGAAGAACACCAGUGGCGAAGGCGGCUUUCUGGACUGUAACUGACGCUGAGGCACGAAAGCGUGGGGAGCAAACAGGAUUAGAUACCCUGGUAGUCCACGCUGUAAACGAUGGAUACUAGGUGUGGGGGACAUACAACCUCUGUGCCGGAGCAAACGCAAUAAGUAUCCCGCCUGGGGAGUACGGCCGCAAGGCUGAA